UACGUAGGAUGCAAGCGUUGUCCGGAAUCACUGGGCGUAAAGGGUCCGUAGGCGGUUUGUUAAGUCUCUUGUGAAAACUCAGGGCUCAACCCUGAGAGGUCGAGGGAUACUGGCAGACUCGAGACUGUCAGAGGCAAGUGGAAUUCCCGGUGUAGUGGUGAAAUGCGUAGAUAUCGGGAGGAACACCAGUGGCGAAAGCGGCUUGCUGGGACAGUUCUGACGCUGAGGGACGAAAGCGUGGGUAGCAAACCGG
Molecule: unclassified non-coding RNA, 253 nt
Filed under: uncultured Dehalococcoidia bacterium
Lineage: Bacteria; Bacillati; Chloroflexota; Dehalococcoidia
Description: contains 16S-23S intergenic spacer region
Rfam family: Bacterial small subunit ribosomal RNA
Source: RNAcentral